ACUCCUACGGGAGGCAGCAGUGGGAAUAUUGCACAAUGGGCGAAAGCCUGAUGCAGCAACGCCGCGUGAGGGACGACGGCCUUCGGGUUGUAAACCUCUUUAGCAGGAAAGAAGCGAAAGUGACGGUACCUGCAGAAAAGCGCCGGCUAACUACGUGCCAGCAGCCGCGGUAAUACGUAGGGCGCAAGCGUUAUCCGGAAUUAUUGGGCGUAAAGAGCUCGUAGGCGGUCUGUCGCGUCUGCUGUGAAAACCCGAGGCUCAACCUCGGGCCUGCAGUGGGUACGGGCAGACUAGAGUGCGGUAGGGGAGAUUGGAAUUCCUGGUGUAGCGGUGGAAUGCGCAGAUAUCAGGAGGAACACCGAUGGCGAAGGCAGAUCUCUGGGCCGUAACUGACGCUGAGGAGCGAAAGGGUGGGGAGCAAACAGGCUUAGAUACCCUGGUAGGCUCUGC
RNAcentral lists this ribosomal RNA (450 nucleotides) under uncultured bacterium. RNAcentral describes it as "bacterial SSU rRNA". It matches the Rfam family "Bacterial small subunit ribosomal RNA", at positions 335 to 800 of the family's 1533-position model. The record is from RNAcentral.